This 469-nucleotide unclassified non-coding RNA is filed under the name Citharexylum hintonii. Its description in RNAcentral is "partial external transcribed spacer". The record is from RNAcentral. Lineage: Eukaryota; Viridiplantae; Streptophyta; Magnoliopsida; Lamiales; Verbenaceae.
UACUGGCAGGAUCAACCAGGUAGCAUUCCUCAUCGACGCCGAACACCGCUUGAACCAAGCCGCGAGGGCUAGGCCAAAACAGGAACGGUCGUCGUCCGCGUGAAGCAUGGAACGCUUGUUUUCGGGGCAAGAUAGAGGUCGGCGACCUCAUACCCAUUCGGUCUUCCGCAUCCGAGGGACUAAGCGCAAAGCCGUGUGCCGACGACCAAAAACACACAUCGAGUUAGGUGCUUUGGUCACGGAGCACGGCAAGUGCUUCGAUGUCCACCCCGCACCGCAAUCCCGAGAGGCGCAGCACGAGGGGGAAAUAUGACAUUUUUGUAACAGCAUGCCACCACGAUGGGUAUGCAGCACAGGAAACCGACACCGGUCAAGGCAAACUCGCAACUUGGGCCAACCAUUGAAGAGGCGAGCACGGGGUGCCGUCGCUGCCCGAGCAGGGAACCGACACGCCCAUACAAGCCAAUCA